CACGUAGGGGGCAAGCGUUGUCCGGAUUUAUUGGGCGUAAAGAGCUCGUAGGUGGCUCGAUAAGUCGGGUGUUAAACCCCCAGGCUCAACCUGGGGCGCCACUCGAUACUGUCGUGGCUAGAGUCCGGUAGGGGAGCGUGGAAUUCCUGGUGUAGCGGUGAAAUGCGCAGAUAUCAGGAGGAACACCAGCGGCGAAGGCGGCGCUCUGGGCCGGAACUGACACUGAGGAGCGAAAGCCAGGGGAGCAAACGGG
Molecule: ribosomal RNA, 253 nt
Filed under: uncultured bacterium
Lineage: Bacteria
Description: partial 16S ribosomal RNA
Rfam family: Bacterial small subunit ribosomal RNA
Source: RNAcentral